AGUCGGAUGCUGAUGCCUCCGCGCCGGGGUUCCCGUGCCCUGGGGAGCCCUUAGCUUUUUGUUUGCCUCCUCAGCGGGAGGCUGUUUUUGUUUAUUUGUUAAAAAAAAAAUAUCUUACUCCCCCUGCGAGGAAUCGGUAAAGGUGAUGAAAACUCCAAACUAAAAUAUCGAAAUGGCCACAGAAUCCGACUUACUGAGAGACCCACGUGAUAAAAUGAAUGAUAUUCCUAGGCAGCUUCAAAUUGAACAUAUUUUAAAAGACCCAAAUAUGCAGAACAGCAUGUCUAAAGGAGGCAGAGGUGAUGUACUAGUAAACUCCACAGAUGAACAAAGUUCUUUACCUCCUCUUAUUGUUGAGUAUGAGAAACAUCUGGAAGAGCUAAGCAGACAAUUGACCUAUUACCAGAAACACAUGGGUGAGAUGAAACUACAACUUGAAACUGUCAUCACUGAAAACGAAAGGUUGCACAGUAAAUUAAAAGAUGCUGUUGAAAAGCAAUUGGAAGCCCUUCCCUUUGGCACAGGGAUAGGAAAUGACAUCUGUGCAGAUGAUGAGACUGUGAGGAACCUUCAGGAACAGUUGCAACUAGCCAAUCAGGAGAAAGCUUGGGCUCUGGAACUCUGGCAGACUGCUUCUCAGGAGUUGGAAAGUAUACGGAAACUCUACCAGGAACAUAUGACUGAAGCCCAGAUUCAUGUAUUUGAAAAUCAAAAGCAAAAGGAUCAGCUGAAUAAUUUUCAACAACUAACCAAGAAACUUCAUGUUGCUAAUGAGAACAUAGAAAUGACUAACCAACACUUCCUGAAAACAGUAACUGAACAAAGUAUGGAGAUUGAGAAACUUCGAAAACAUCUUAGUGUGUGCAGGUGGUGUCUCUUCCUCUCCUGGUGGGUACGGGUCCAAGGUUGUCUUCAGGUGGGUGCAAGCAGGUCCAAUACUCUGAUGUGUCUCAUGAUGUGUUCACCGGCGUCUGAGAUACUCCUUCUCCCAGUGGGCGGAGGUGGGACUAGCACUGCAAUGUCAGAAGACUCUGGAUGGCUUUAUCCACCUGAGGUAAUUCAACCUACUUGUAGUCCCCAAUCCAGGAGAUCCCAAAGAGGGCAAGUUUGAGUCGGGCUUGAGACUGGGGCCCACACUCACCUUGCCUCUGAG
This 1153-nucleotide long non-coding RNA is filed under the name Cricetulus griseus (Chinese hamster). RNAcentral's name for it is "lncRNA (ENSCGRG00000024853.1)". Lineage: Eukaryota; Metazoa; Chordata; Mammalia; Rodentia; Cricetidae. The record is from RNAcentral.